UUCUAACUGAACAUAAGUAUAUUUCAUGCUUCGUUCAUUCAUGCAAGUUUGCUUCUUCGAGUGGCCGACAAUACACCGGUUCCUAAGUUUAGUUUGUAACUUGCUUCCCUUUUUCUAGGCCGCCGUUGUCUUCGUUCCAAGGGUAGAUCGUGUGAACACGCUUCUUAGUGCAUGCCCCGGUCACCACCAUACAUGUCUCGCCGGCACCGAAGCCAUCACAAAAACUGCUUGAAGCAACAUCGAUUAGACAUUAUGCAUGAGUAUAUAAGAAAGGAAGCAAACAAUUGAAGAACGGUGACGUUGGUAUACCCCAUACUUCUGCAUGCCGCCCUGCCAUAAAACUGAUGAAGCAAAGAUGCAAUGUAAGAAAGCAUGCACGUACUCCUUCCUACUUGCUUUAUCACCGUCGUUUAUGUCAGUGACCCAGACCUUCCCACUAUGUCACUAUGUUCCAACCGCCGUCUCAAUUCUAGGCCGAAGAUGACCUCUUCUACCGCAAAGGUUUGGAAGCUGGCGCCGGCAAGCUGCACGCGAUUAUAUGAUAAGGAGCAAACCGGGCCGUCGGGCCGCACAGAGAUGAUGAUGAGCAGGAGGCCUGCGUUCUUGACCUGCCGUCAAGUGUACACAUUACCGACUUGUUUCCAUGCCAUUCAUGCUGCAUGACAAAGUGAUACUCAAUAAAAUUCCAAACUAAAGCAAAUAAAAAAGAAGUGAUGAGAAAAACCGGACUAUAGUCUCAAUGAGUGCAUACCCGGACGCACGAGUAGUUUCUUUGCCGGGCCAAAAAGGCGCACCAGCACGGUGGGAGAGAUGGUCAUGGCCUCACGCGGCAGGGUCAGGCGAGGACAAGCGCGGGGAUUGGGGUUACUUGGUCGGCUGUGAAAGCAGAGAUCGAUGGAGCACAGAAGCCGUUGUAGCCGACGCCAAUUUCUUGCUGCUGAGCAGGUUGAUGCAGAGGAAGUCGUCGUGGUGGAGUUCUGGGAUGAGCGCGAUAGUGAGAUGCGAGACGGGCUGGGGUGUAUGGGACGGGGGAGCAGGCGAGAUUUACUCGCCCGGGCGUUUUGAGGUGGUUG
This 1073-nucleotide long non-coding RNA is filed under the name Hordeum vulgare. RNAcentral describes it as "long non-coding RNA (HVUL_LNC001492)". Lineage: Eukaryota; Viridiplantae; Streptophyta; Magnoliopsida; Poales; Poaceae. The record is from RNAcentral.